RGUGGAUUAGCGGCGGACGGGUGAGUAACACGUGGGUAACCUGCCUCAAAGUGGGGGAUAGCCUUCCGAAAGGAAGAUUAAUACCGCAUAACAUAAGAGAAUCGCAUGAUUUUCUUAUCAAAGAUUUAUUGCUUUGAGAUGGACCCGCGGCGCAUUAGCUAGUUGGUAAGGUAACGGCUUACCAAGGCAACGAUGCGUAGCCGACCUGAGAGGGUGAUCGGCCACAUUGGAACUGAGACACGGUCCAGACUCCUACGGGAGGCAGCAGUGGGGAAUAUUGCGCAAUGGGGGAAACCCUGACGCAGCAACGCCGCGUGGGUGAUGAAGGUCUUCGGAUUGUAAAGCCCUGUUUUCUGGGACGAUAAUGACGGUACCAGAGGAGGAAGCCACGGCUAACUACGUGCCAGCAGCCGCGGUAAUACGUAGGUGGCGAGCGUUGUCCGGAUUUACUGGGCGUAAAGGGUGCGUAGGCGGAUGUUUAAGUGGGAUGUGAAAUCCCCGGGCUUAACCUGGGGGCUGCAUUCCAAACUGGAUAUCUAGAGUGCAGGAGAGGAAAGCGGAAUUCCUAGUGUAGCGGUGAAAUGCGUAGAGAUUAGGAAGAACACCAGUGGCGAAGGCGGCUUUCUGGACUGUAACUGACGCUGAGGCACGAAAGCGUGGGUAGCAAACAGGAUUAGAUACCCUGGUAGUCCACGCCGUAAACGAUGGAUACUAGGUGUAGGGGGUAUCAACUCCCCCUGUGCCGCAGUUAACACAAUAAGUAUCCCGCCUGGGGAGUACGGUCGCAAGAUUAAAACUCAAAGGAAUUGACGGGGGCCCGCACAAGCAGCGGAGCAUGUGGUUUAAUUCGAAGCAACGCGAAGAACCUUACCUGGACUUGACAUCCCUUGCAUAGCCUAGAGAUAGGUGAAGCCCUUCGGGGCAAGGAGACAGGUGGUGCAUGGUUGUCGUCAGCUCGUGUCGUGAGAUGUUAGGUUAAGUCCUGCAACGAGCGCAACCCUUGUUAUUAGUUGCUACCAUUAAGUUGAGCACUCUAAUGAGACUGCCUGGGUAACCAGGAGGAAGGUGGGGAUGACGUCAA
This 1081-nucleotide ribosomal RNA is filed under the name Clostridium botulinum. Its description in RNAcentral is "bacterial SSU rRNA". It matches the Rfam family "Bacterial small subunit ribosomal RNA", at positions 86 to 1188 of the family's 1533-position model. The record is from RNAcentral. Lineage: Bacteria; Bacillati; Bacillota; Clostridia; Eubacteriales; Clostridiaceae.